UUGGAGGGCAAGUCUGGUGCCAGCAGCCGCGGUAAUUCCAGCUCCAAUAGCGUAUAUUAAAGUUGUUGCAGUUAAAAAGCUCGUAGUUGAAUUUCGAGACCGGUUUACUGGUCGUGCUUUUGUACGUACUGGUAUUAUUGGUUUCUCCUUUCUGACGAACUAUAAUGCCAUUAAUUUGGUGUUUUAGGGAAUCAGGACUGUUACUUUGAAAAAAUUAGAGUGUUUAAAGCAGGC
RNAcentral lists this ribosomal RNA (234 nucleotides) under uncultured Glomus. RNAcentral's name for it is "partial 18S ribosomal RNA". It matches the Rfam family "Eukaryotic small subunit ribosomal RNA", at positions 548 to 785 of the family's 1831-position model. The record is from RNAcentral. Lineage: Eukaryota; Fungi; Glomeromycota; Glomeromycetes; Glomerales; Glomeraceae.